AAUCAACGCUGGCGGCGUGCCUCAGACAUGCAAGUCGAACGAUUAAAGCUCUCUUCGGAGAGUGUAUAGAGUGGCGCACGGGUGAGUAACACGUAGUAAUCUACCCUCGAGUGGGGAAUAACGUUCGGAAACGAACGCUAAUACCGCAUAAUGCAGCGGCAUCGCAAGAUGACAGUUGUUAAAGGAGUAAUUCGCUUGAG
RNAcentral lists this ribosomal RNA (200 nucleotides) under uncultured bacterium. Its description in RNAcentral is "partial 16S ribosomal RNA". It matches the Rfam family "Bacterial small subunit ribosomal RNA", at positions 32 to 223 of the family's 1533-position model. The record is from RNAcentral.